Molecule: transfer RNA, 72 nt
Filed under: Ictidomys tridecemlineatus (thirteen-lined ground squirrel)
Lineage: Eukaryota; Metazoa; Chordata; Mammalia; Rodentia; Sciuridae
Description: Spermophilus tridecemlineatus (thirteen-lined ground squirrel) tRNA
Rfam family: tRNA
About the family: Transfer RNA (tRNA) molecules are approximately 80 nucleotides in length. Their secondary structure includes four short double-helical elements and three loops (D, anti-codon, and T loops).
Source: Rfam by way of RNAcentral
AGGGUUGUGGCUCAGUGGUAGAGUGCUAGCCUAAUAUGCAUAAGGCUCUGGGUUCAAUCCUCAGCACCACUU